GUUAAAAUACCAAAUGUUUGACAUUCAGCAGCCCAUGAUGAAUACAUGUAAAUCAAUUUGCUCUAAUGUGUCAUUAAACUAAACACACCCUUUUUGUUCCUGCCAGUGCACCAUGAAUGGAAUAUCAUCAGUGGUGGUAUGUGCAAAACCAGUUCUGUGUGAACUUUAUCAACAAAGUACAUUUGAACACAAUGAACAUCACAAAACCAUCCAUAUGCAUACAGAAAUAUGUUUGAAGAAUGUAUUUUAACAAAUGAACUUUUUAAAAGUAAUAAAAUUGUGGAAGGCAAAUGUACCUCAACUCAUCUACUUUCUUUUUAAAGAAAACAAUUGGUAAUUGCAGAUUGUCUUCCAUUACGAGGAAACAGAAAUGUUAACUUGUUUUUAAGUGCAUACAGAUAUUUGUAACAAUUUCAUUACCAAUGUAAGGUUCAAAUUGUACUAUAAAUUACUUUUGUUGUGAAACUGUACUGUAAAUUGCUUUUGUUCUCAAAUUUAUAUAUAGGUACAACAUUCACAAGCAAGAUGUAUUAUAAUUUUAAACUAGAACAGACCUCUUCUUUUUCAAUUUGUUUGAUGCUACCACUUGCAAUUAAUGGGAACAAUACAUUAUUUUGCAGUUGAUCUGUGACCCAUGGUUUCGCAUAAUGGACUGUGUAGCCAAAUGGCCAGGUUCUGUCCAUGAUAACAGAAUCUUCAGACAGUCUGCUGUGUGUGCUCAUUUUGAGAGAGGUGAUAUUGAUGGGAUCCUCCUUGGCGAUUCAGGAUAUGCCUUGAGAAACUUUUUAAUGACACCAUAUUUAACACCUAACACUGAUGCUAAAAAAAAAUACAAUACAUCUUUGUGCAAAACUCGUGUAUUAAUUGAGCAAACAUUUGGCAUUCUAAAACGACGUUUUGCUUGUCUUCAUAAUGAAAUUAGAUCUAAGCCUGAGUUUGUUUGUAAAUUUGUAAUUGCAUGUUGUGUUUUACACAAUGUCGGUAUUGACAGAGGUGAUGUUUGUUCAUUUGAAUUUCCCGAUUUAAAUGAUUCACAAAAUGAUAUCAUUCACACAGAUGGUGUUGGUGCUCAUAUGCGUGAGCACAUCACCAAUACCUAUUUCUCUUGAAGGCAUUGUUCCACAGACACUAAUGCAUCACAAAGCAAAACAAGUAAUUGAAAAUGUAUACUCUUAAUUUGUAUUCAUUAAUCUUCAAUGCUAUAAAUUAUGAAGAAUGUUAAUUUUAAUCAAGGAAUAUGUUGGUCUACAAAUUAAUCAAUUUUCAGCGUAUCAAAUGAAUGAAACUUUUCCUUGUAAUCCAAUAUUAUGAAAAAGAAAAGCACAAAGGAAGUCAUUUAUUAUAUCGAAUGUCAGUGGAAACAUGCCUUUACUAAAAGUACAUUCAAAAUUGUUGAGGCAACAUUGGUUACUGACAUAAUUAAAGACAUUUUUGUUCAAUAUUAUUUGUUAAAAUGUUUGGAGUUAAAAACCUGUCACAUAAUACAUGUAUUAGGAUGAUAAAUACAUUGAUAUUGUAACAAAUGAUAAAAGUCAUUUCUAUAAUUAAACAGGCUACAUGAAGUUACAAUGGCCACAUAUGUAAUGCAUACCAGUGGUAUGUCCCUGAUAUUCCCAUGCUAUCAUUAAACAGGAUACAUGAAGUUACAAUGGUCACAUAUCUAAUGUAUACCAGUGGUAAGUCCCUGAUAUUCCCAUGCUAUAGUAAAACAAUAAAUAUAGAAUAAAUAGUUAAUGACAUGUAACAUUGGUUUUAUUAUCUGAAAGGAUAAAUUGGAAAUUUGUGGAUUCCAUAGAGAUUUCUUGCAAAUUCAUAAGCUGCUUCCUGCUGUUUAGUUGGACGGACUAACAUUUAUAAAUUAUAAUUUCUAUGACAUAUAGAAUUUU
Gigantopelta aegis is the source of this 1886-nucleotide long non-coding RNA. RefSeq lists it as uncharacterized. The record is from RefSeq and is a predicted model, not a curated record. Lineage: Eukaryota; Metazoa; Mollusca; Gastropoda; Neomphalida; Peltospiridae. The transcript is spliced from 2 exons.